This 465-nucleotide ribosomal RNA is filed under the name Flavobacterium sp. 01WB02.2-20. RNAcentral's name for it is "bacterial SSU rRNA". It matches the Rfam family "Bacterial small subunit ribosomal RNA", at positions 1 to 475 of the family's 1533-position model. Lineage: Bacteria; Pseudomonadati; Bacteroidota; Flavobacteriia; Flavobacteriales; Flavobacteriaceae. The record is from RNAcentral.
UGAGCUUGAUCCUGGCUCAGGAUGAACGCUAGCGGCAGGCUUAACACAUGCAAGUCGAGGGGUAUUUAUCUUCGGAUAGAGAGACCGGCGCACGGGUGCGUAACGCGUAUGCAAUCUACCUUUUACAGAGGGAUAGCCCAGAGAAAUUUGGAUUAAUACCUCAUAGUAUAUAGACUCGGCAUCGAGAUUAUAUUAAAGUCACAACGGUAAAAGAUGAGCAUGCGUCCCAUUAGCUAGUUGGUAAGGUAACGGCUUACCAAGGCUACGAUGGGUAGGGGUCCUGAGAGGGAGAUCCCCCACACUGGUACUGAGACACGGACCAGACUCCUACGGGAGGCAGCAGUGAGGAAUAUUGGACAAUGGGCGCAAGCCUGAUCCAGCCAUGCCGCGUGCAGGAUGACGGUCCUAUGGAUUGUAAACUGCUUUUAUACGAGAAGAAACACUGCUUCGUGAAGCAGCUGACGG